UGCAAACUUUACACACGCCGCACGUUCCCAUGUAUCAAAAGCCUUUGUAAAUAUCCUUUUGCGGAUGUAAAAUGGAAUGGUAGUGCCAGACGGAUCGAGGUAGAACUUCACUCUACGAACGUCUCUGACCCGGGCAGUAGCAGGGAUGACUGCAUUACAGGUUUGUCCGGAUGAUGUUAUUAUGGAUGCGAGGAGGAAGAAACCAAGGAAGACAAGAUAUGACAUGGUGAAUUAAUGUCAAGAAUUUAGUUUCAAGCUUUGGGAAAUUGUGAUGUCUUCAAACUCAUCAUACACACCCAUAUUUAUACAACUUUUCUACAAUGUGAAUUUAAUGAGUUGAGAAUAAAAUGUUGACCGUAUUAAAGAGGGUGGACCCGUUUAAUGAAUAUUGAUGUCGAAAAUAUUUUAUUUUAUCACAUCAAAAUAAGUAGACAGACUUCAUUCUAUAUAGAGUUCGGUGAUAUCUCAAUUCUCACUAUUAAAUCCAAUUCCAACGACCCCACAUUUGAUUUCUACUUAUUCAUUUUGUUUAUUAAUUUAUUUAAAUAUCAUUAAAUAUGCACAUUAACUUGUAAAUUGUAAUCGGAAUCGCAUAAAUUUAGAUUUUUAUAUAAUUAAAUUGAGAUUUUGAUAUAAUUAAAAAGAUUUUGAUGUAAACUGACUUUUCAUGUCGAGAAAAAAAAUAUAAUUAAUGUUGACAAAUUUAUUUGCCCUACCUACUAAUUCUUCUGAUCAUUUGCAAUUUAUUUGGUAUCGAUAUAUAUUAGUGUGUCCAAAUUAUCAUACAAUUUUGCAUAUAUUUGCAAGUUGAAUUUUACAACUGGAAAUAGAUUACAAUUUAAAAACUUUUUUAAUUAAAAAUAAAAUAUUUUUAUUUUCUAACUUUUCAUAUCGAGAAAAAUUUAUAAUUAAUAUUAACAAAUACUUUUGUCCUAACUAGUUGUUUUUCAAUUAUCAUUAAUUCGUUAUUACACAUAUUUGCGUGUCNNNNNNNNNNNNNNNNNNNNNNNNNNNNNNNNNNNNNNNNNNNNNNNNNNNNNNNNNNNNNNNNNNNNNNNNNNNNNNNNNNNNNNNNNNNNNNNNNNNNGAAACACCCCGCUUACUAUCAGAAAAGGCGAGCUGUUUGAGAAGCUAAAGAGCCGAGCGGAUCUACCUGUCCCUCGUUCUUUAGACCCUGCAGGCAAAGAGGGCCGCAUGCAAUCUGGGAAAUACUGUGAAUUUCACAAAGACUGCGACCACCUAACAGAUAACUGCAGGGAAUUCUCGUCUUUCGUUGAGCAGUUGAUCUCAAAGGGAGAACUUGGCAACUUCGUCAAGAACUCCCGAGGACAAGACAACUGCAAACCUGACACAAAGGGGAAGCGUCCACGCUCUCCUUCGCCAGACAGUGACAACAGCGAGAACCGCCAGCGGAAGACCAUCAAUAUGAUAUUUGGUGGUGGAUCCGUUGGCAAGUGGCACUAGGGAAGGGGUUCCCCUGCCUUAAAAGCCAAGCUGUGACUGUCCUGGAAGAGCACCAGGGCAGGUUCGUUCGGGGGGGUGAGGCACCGACACAGAUUGCGCGCACAAACUGAACGUCGGCUCAUCCAUUCCAGCUCGACGCCAGAAGCGUCAAACACUCACUCCCGACAGGCGGGAGUCAGCCAAAGGAACCUGGGCAGACAAGUUGUGCAAAAUCCUAUGGGCAUAUCGCACCACGAGGAAGAGCCCUACGGGCUAGCAUAACAGAAAGGAAUAGGCCAAGAAAUAAACUAUCUUCCAACUCCGAAGGUCCCUACAUCGUUAAGGAGGAGAUAAGGCCAGGAGCUUAUCGCCUACAACGACUGGAUGGAGCAAUGAUUCCUAACACCUGGCAUGCGGACAACAUGCAGCAGUACUACGCAUAGUACUCACAAGCAUCAAGUUUAUUUUCUUUAGUUUUCCUAGUAUGUAUGUUAGCUAAUUAUAAAAUAUAUAUACGCAUUCUAACCCGUAUGGAUACCCUAAAUCUAUUGUGUCGCUUUGGCCUCAGUAGAACAAAGAUCAUUCCGUCGCUACGGCCCUAAUAAUCCCAUCCAAUCUUGUCGCUAAAAAGCCUUGAUAUUGAUCAACAAGUCACUCCGUCACUAGGAUAGGAGUCGACUACAUCGUCAAGGGUUCAAAUCCAGGGUUAGAAUAAAUAGGUCCAAUUCAGACACGCGUUGCGACCACAACUCUUAUUCGCACGAGCGAAUCAAAAACUAGUGGAUAUCAAACCACUUUCGCCUAUCGUGUUUAACUACGAUUCAUACGCCCAAACUUACGCUAAGUAAGGUGGAAAGAAUCUAACUUACGUCCAAAAGCGACUAAGUUACGAUUUAUGAUCCAACUACGAUUCGUACGACUAAACCUAUGUCCUAAGAAUCUAACUUACGUCCAGAGCGACUAAGUUACGAUUUAUGAAUCUAGUUUAACUCUAAAAACAUAUUAGCAAAAAAAAGGUGAUUUCAUUAACACAAAAAAUAGAAGGAAAUCUAUUACAAUAAUAGUUCAAUCUUCUUUCCUCGCUUCGCGAACAUCGCUUUUGAUCUUAUCUAAAGCCUCCUUGUGCUCCAGCUGCACUUCAGGAUGUUCUUCUAGCCACGCCAUAAUGUCUGAAAUGUAGUUGGCGGGCAGACUUGUAAACACGUGAGGUCCGAAAAAGUUCACGUCUUGGAGUUGAUCGGAUUGACCAUCAACUUCGAACUCCAAGUCCUUCACCUUCUCAGAAGAAACGUCCAGAGCUUCCUUCAUCUUCUUCGACUCCUCCGUGGAUCGAGAGAAGCGAUCUUGUAAAUCCUUCAGGGCAGAGGUGGAUUCAGAAACUUCAACUUGCAAUUUCUGAAUUUGUGUUUCAGAAAUCAUCGCAUUUCCCACUUCCACGUCCAGCUGCGUCUUCAGCAUAUCAAUUCGUUUUCGAGCAGCAGCGAGAAGCGACUCAUUUUCUUUCAGAGAGUCACAGCUUCGGCGAAGAUCAGUAAUUUCAAGUCGGUGCGCAGCGCACUCUUUGUUCUUCGCCGCUAUCGCUUUCUCGUGCUCAGCAGCUUGUUCCUCCAACUUCUUAUUCCGUUGGAGGGUCUUUCUCAACGACCACACUUCUUUACAGACAGCUUGAUACUUGUCAUCAAGCUUGUUAUACUCCUGUUGAGAACGGAGUGUGUCGUUCGCAGAUUGCAUCCCAAUGGUUGCAUUCGAUAGAUACGCGACCUACAAAACAAAACAAUCAAUUAGUAAAAUAAAAUAAAGCAAUUAUGCGUAACAAGCGAUUGUGAAUCACUUACAGCAGAUAUAGCUUUUCCAAGCUCUUCACGUAUCCAAUCCCCAGAUUAGUCAGAAGCAGCUUGGCAGCCUUCGUCCGCACCCCUUCAUCAGCAAACAAGCCCGGAUAAUCAAAUGUGGUGCGGAAGGGGGCGUACUCAGGAACAGACCUCGAGCUCGACCCAGUCUCGAAGGUUCUGCGGGGGCCAGUCUCUUGGGCCUUCCGUUCUCUUAUCAGCUUAGCGCCGCGAAGUCUCACGGCCAAAUGGGGAAGAACUGCCUCGCGGUAGAGAUGUGCACCCUUCUUCUUCUUUAUCGGGUUGCCAGAAGGGUCCUCUGACCGCAGGUAGUGUGCCACGUCAGAAAAAGUAAAGUCCUCUCGCUGGCACAAAGCGAAAGGAACUCCUUGCCCACAUUCAAAAGAAGCGAGAGCAGAAGAGAUCUUCUUCACCCGCUUCAGUUCAGCCUUGCUCAGGGCGCAAGGAACAUCCAGGUGUACGCGGCGAGCGUUGGCCCACCUCUCGCGACUCCCGCGUACAAAUGUAGAAUCGAUAAAAAAGAACUCACUCUUCCACUGAGGCCCAUAGUUAGUGGGGAGUUCUAUUAUCAGCUCUCUUCCGCUAAACCGCUUUGCCAACCCCAACCGACCAGAUUCGGAAGCGGGCGCCUUGACAAAUUUAAAAAACCAGAAGAACAAGGCGGCGGUUGCAGGGAUGUUCAGGAUCCAACAGAUGUUGGAGAAUCCUCUCAAGUACACAAAAAACGCUGCCUGCAUCUGCGACAGCGACACCCCCCGUGAAGAAGCACUUCACUCAUCAGUGCUGGAAUCGGCAGCAUCGAGAAGUGUCGGAAAUAGAGGCGGGGGAUGGCUUGAAACCCGGCUGGAGGCAGGUUCGCGGGCUGAUAUUGCGACCCCCAGAACCGCAAGUGCCCAGAAAUACGAAUCCCCCGUAAAAUCUCACGGGCUUCAAGUGCAGAAGUUAUCGAGAAUGGAUGCACGCUCUCGUUCUGCGGCACGAGAGGUGCAUUGACAGAAACUUCUUCAAAGGACCCCUCAUCCGUAUCACUGAGGGGUAACAAUCUGAUUUCACCACCCGGCAGAGUUUCGCAGUGAGCAUAGCCGGUGUGGUUCUCAACUCCCUCGUAGAAUAGGAGGUUUACAUGAUCUCCAUCCUUGUCCAUUUCCAAAGGAGGAGGAGGAGUGUUCGAUCUGUCAUCGCGGCUUCGACUCUGGCCGCGGUCAACUGGAAUCUCCUGAGUAUAGUUAAAGGGCUCAGGUACCCUUACAUCUUCCGCAGAGGGGAAGUGCACUUUUCCUCUACCACCCAUCCCAUAAAUAUGAGGAAUGGGGGCAUUAAUGUUGUCAGACUUCUCGGAAGAAUCCCUAGCAUGUUUAGGGUGCUUCCUCUUUCUCUUCUUCGGCCUCUCAAAUUCAUCAAUCGGCCUGUCAACAUCCACCACUUGGAUAGGUGGAAAAUCUUCAAUUCCAACCCCCGAGUUUGGGGGCAAUGUCGGCGACUUAAGUGUUGAACUCGCCGAUGUUGGUACGGAACUCGCCGAUCCGAGUUGAAUUACUCGGCGAGGUCUCUUAAACAUGGGGACAACCCCCUUGCCUUUGGCCAGCGACUUCCCAAGGGGACUCGCCGACUUAGCUGCAAGAGUCGGGGGAUCUCACCCAGUUCAAUAAGGGGCUCUGCCACGACCAGAGUCAGGGAGUCAUCCGUCAAACUCGCCGAUUUCUUGCUAGAACUCGGCGAGUUUUCAGGAGUCAGCCCGAGCAACUCGCGGGCAGUAGCAAGGAACCUGACGUUCUGAGGCGCGUCGACAGCCGGAAUCUCCGACCCACCGCGCGAAGGCGAGGGAAUCGGAGACUCGACGGUGUCGAGCACCCCCGUCAGGCCUUCAUCUAUAUCAUCGUUCAGUAUGUCGGCGACCAGAGUUUCGGUCUCCGACAUUGUCAAUCUAGGGAGAAACGGUUCGUCUGCCAUAAGUCGGCGAUUUAGAAGUAGACUCAGAGACUUGGUGAAAAGAUCUGGUGAUUGUAAUGAAAGUCGGCGAGUUAUGAAGAAGCUCGGUGACUUAGAAAGGGAUUAGGGUUUAAGCAAAAUCAGGGUAAGUGGUGUGCGGAUUAAAAUAAUCGACUCACUAUUUAUAGACCCUGGGUAAAUUGCAACCCCCCCGGAGAAUCUACAAAUUACGCGAAGAAAAAUCGCUAAUUGAUCUCCAAAUCCGCAAACUCGGCGAGUCUCUCGCAAACUCGCCGAGUUUGGGAAAAAAUCACGGGAUACGAGGAGGAAAUUUCCAUACUUGGAAAAUUUGCAAAUAUUUCCCAAGAUCCUAAGGAUUCUCGAAGAGAUCCGCCAGCUCAUACUAAAACUCGCCGAGUUUAUAGGAAAAUCGCCGAUCCAGGUCAGCGAAUCUCCAGGUUUCUCAAAAAAUACCUUCAAUACUAAGUCGGCGAGUUAACACUUUAAGUCGCCGACUUAGGAUAUACACAGUAUCUUAGGGGGAAAAUCACAAACCUCCUUCCACAACUUCAGGGGAGAGUAUCACAAGCUCUCCCGACAUUUCUAUCGCUUUGGCUAGAAAUAGUCAAACCUCAGGGGGGAGUAUCACAAGCUCUCCCGACAUUUCUAUCGCUUUGGCUAGAGAUCGUCAAAACUCAGAGGGGAGUAUCACAAACUCUCUCGACUUUUCUGUCUCCGGCCGGAAAUUGUCAAAACUCAGGGGGGAGUGUCACAAACUCUCUCGACUUUUCUGUCUCCGGCCGGAAAUUGUCAAAACUCAGGGGGGAGUAUCACAAACUCUCUCGACUUUUCUGUCGCUCCGGCCGGAAAUUGUCAAACCUCAGGGGGGAGUAUCACAAGCUCUCCCGACACUUCUGUCGCUCUGGCCAGAAGUCGUCAUACAUAAGCACGGUCAGUCUGUCGCUUCAGCCAGAUUCACCGAGGAGUGGUUAAAGUAAGGAAAAGAGUAUCGCAAGAGGUAUUUUCGGUCAAUAAUCAUAUGCGUUUUCAGACUGAUCUAGUUGUUUUGCAGGAUGUUUUCUUUUGUUGUUUUGCAGGACGUUUUCUUUUUUGCAGGUAUUAUUCUGUCGCUUUGGCAAGAAUAAGACUCUAAUAGUGAGUCCAAGUAUCUUGUCGCAUUCUGCCUUGAUACACUAGAGAUCGUUCUGUCGCUUUAGCCUUAACGAUUCUCAACCCAUCUUGUCGCUAAAAAGCCUUGAAGGGGGCCGUCGUUGCGGACUUUAAGUCGCUCUUGAUCAGAGUGGACUAUAAACAUUAGUUCUAUCGCUUCGGCUAGAACUUGGGUCUAUCGCUCUGGCAAGAACCCGAUUAUGUCGCUAAAUAGCCUUAAUCGAUUCCGUCGCUUUGGCCGAAAUUUAUCUUGUCGCUUCGGCCUCGAUAACACAGUGCAGUCGCCCCUGAUCAGGGAAGGACUAUAAACAUGAGUUACCGUGGCCUGGAACUCGAUCUAUUCUUAUCGCUUUGGCCUAUGGAUUCUGAAUCAUUACGUCACUGUGGGCGGAUGAUUCGAUCUCAUCUUGUCGCUUUGGCCUUGGUGCUGGGUCUAACACUUUGAACCUUGAUUGACGGGGGGGGUACUAGUGAUACACCAUGUUUCUUGUGCUCUCUUCAGGGGGGAGUACUGGAGAGACAUGCCUGAUUACACCAGUCACUACCCAUCAACGCCUCUCAACAAGGACUAGGGCUCCGUCGCUAUGGCAGGACCCCCGGAGAGCUCCCACGGUGCGGAACACGUUCAUCGUCUAGAUCGCCGAGUUAGCCCGUAAAGUCGCCCGAUUGGACUACCAAGUCGCCGACAUACAGGAUAACUCGCCGAGUUAAGGCAAGAUCGGCAGUAUGGUAGACUGUACAUCUUGGACCUAGAAACUCGCCGAGUUAGCCCUUAACUAGGCGACUUCCAUACCUGAAUCGGCGACUUACGACCGUUACUCGGCGGCAGCCAACGUCAUAAAUGUUACCAUAUAUGACCAUAGGCGCGAUCUCCGCCGAUGAGUGCGCCCUCCGAGACCCUAUAAAAGGGGUCCCAAGGGGACACUCAAAGGCACGAUUCAAGUUCCACUCUCACACCAGAGCACCACACUACGAAACUCGGCGAGUCUCAUUAGAAUCGCCUAGUUUCCACUUGCAGGUAUUUGAUGUAGAGCGUGCGUCGUGGACUCCAAAGCCUCCGGCAUCAACCUCGCACCACCUCGAGCCCUGGUAGCAGAUUCAGUGCUUCAUCACCUAUGUAGACGAUCUAUUGGUCACAGGGAAUAACAUUAACUAAAUAAAUAAAACAAAAAUGGAACUAGCAAAUUUUUUCAACAUAAAAGAUCUAGGAAAAUUAAAAUAUUUCCUAGGACUAGAAUUCACCUAUGCACAAACAGGAAUAUACAUGGGACAAAGAAAAUAUAUACUAGACCUGUUAGAAUCAACCGGGUAUCUGAAUUCAAAACCAAAAACUACACCAGCAAAGAAAAUAACAAAAAGGAAAAUGAUGAAACAGAACUCGAGGAUGCCACACAAUACAGGAGCAUAGUAGGAAAAUUAAUGUACCUGCUAACUGUAACAAGACCAGACAUAACAUACGCAGUAAAUACACUAAGCCAAAACAUGGCUAAACCAAGGCAAAAUGACCUAAACGCAGCACAUAAAGUGCUAAAAUAUAUUAAACAAUCACCUUGUUUUGCUAUCUCUUUCUCAGGAUCCAACACAUCAGGAUUAAGAGCCUUCUCAGAUUCCGAUUGGGCAUCAUGUCCUUCAACAAGGAGAUCGACAACAGGGUUCGCCAUAUUUCUUGGGGGAUCUCUAAUAUCAUGGCAAACAAAAAAACAACACACAGUUGCUAGAUCAUUAGCAGAAGCGGAGUACAGGGCAUUAGCAUAUACAAGUUACGAGAUAACAUGGAUCAUCAAUCUACUAAAAGAAAUCAGAACUUACAAGAAUGAGACACCAAUCCUUUACAUGGACAGCAAGUCUGCAGCAGCAAUAGCAAAGAACCCAGUACUACAUCAAAGAACAAAACACAUCGAGAUUGAUAUUCACACAGUGCGCGAUAAAAUCAUGGAAUUUUUUUUGAAGAUAGACAGGACUCGAGAAUGAAUGUAGCCAACAUGUUUACAAAGCCAGUAAUGGGAACAUUGUACAAAAUACUACUGAUGCAACUCGGAAUGAAGAACAUACAUCAAGGAAGAACAGAAAAUAAAAUCAAAGAAGGUGAAGGAAGGGAAGAAAACCUUUGACACCGAAGCGACUCCUGCCAAAACCCUAGGAUCACCAGCCGACAAUAUUCAAAGAAAAACCCCACACACGCCUUUUAUAGUAACACCAAUAAAACUAACCCAAUAAAUCCCUAUAUCCAUAUAUCCGAAUAACCGAAUAUCCACAUCCAUAUAUCCGAAUAUAAGCCCAUAACCCAAAUACUAGCCCAAAUCUUAGUAGCUUAUGGCCUUAUUUUCGAGGGAGACUAUUAGAAUUAUUGGGAAAAUUAUCCCUCUAGUACCUACAAAACUAUAAUAUCUCAUUACUUAUUAUCCAAUCCAAUCAUUCUCAAUAUAUACCUACUUCCUAAUAUAUUACUCCCUAAUAUAUCUAUUUCCUAAUCCAAUUUAUUACCAUAAUUAAUCACACCAACCAAACCUACCUAAACCUUUAUAGCCGUUGGGUUUCUACCUCUAUAAAUAUGGAUCAUCAUAACAUAACCUAUAGGUUUUGGAUUCAAGUUUUUGGUCCCAAAUCACCAUCUCUAUCUUCUUCAAUCUGUUCUCUGGAAUCUGCAAUCUGUCCUCUGGAAUUCAAAUCAUCUGAUCAAGCUUGCUCUUCAUCUGGAGAUUAUUCAUUUGAUCUGUUCAUCAUCUUCAUCAUCUCCAGCAACUACAUUCUGCAAUCAUCUUAAUCUUCACGAAUCUGUAUUGUCAUUUACUUUCCAACAAGUUCAAUAUUGUCAUACAUAAAUAUUGCAUUACAUCUCAAAUACUUGGAUAAUCAUACAUCAUAAUUAUAUAAUUCUAACAACAAUAGACCCAACAAAAGCCGGUAGCAGAUCCACAACGCUAUGCAGAUUGUUAAGCAUCAUCCAAGACACCUCUCGUGGGAGUACCGGAAGUAUAUCCUUAACUUUAAACGACAUCUUCAACACGUCCACACCCAACAACGAUCCCCAUCUUCCGCCGCACACCGCGAGCCACAAAACCCACAGGAAAGCAGUUGUCGUGGUCAUGAGGUAGCGAAAGCUGUGCCUGCCUGGUCAUUUAAUUGCCACACGGAACAGUGGAAGUUUUGCCUUUUGGCAUUUGGUGGUAUAUUUAUCAAAACCAUAUACUUAAAACUCAUUCCCAAUUUCCCACACUAUUAUGUGCAACGGGGGAUGAAGAAAUUACUGGUGGAUACCAUUUGGGUAGACGAUGAACCGGAACCAUGAAAUGGACAAUCGAUAAGGACUGGAGCCAUCACCUGAACAAAUGAACUAGAACCAUUACCGGAAUAAAGGAAGACGCCGAAAACUGGAAUGCACUCGCCGAAAACGGAACUGCGGAAGACGGACAUGAUCGAGAAACAGAACGAUGAACGAAGAAGAACGGAAAUCGUCGAUCGGAAACCCAGAAAUAGACGGCGGAAAAAAACUAGCCGGAGAACUGCGGAAGACAAUCGACUGAAAAUAACCGAGGAAAAAAACUAGCUGGAAAAAAGCCCCUUGAACAAAUGUCACAGUCAUAUCAAUUAAAUUAAUAAUUUCUAAAUUAUUUGAAAACAAAUCUUUAAUGAGUGAGGUAACUUUCCGUUUAUCCAAAUUUUGUGGUUCAUUAAAAGAUUGCUCGUCUGUACAUAUAUGUGGUAUAUAAAAAAGAAAACAAGUUAAAAAUUAAAAUACAGUUUUUUUUAGAUACGCUCAAAAUCACUCACCCUAUCUAAACUAUUGGAUCUUCUUAUAGUCAAUCUUAGUCGUUAUUUUUUUAAUCAUUAAAGCGGUUUGGACCCAGAGUCCCGAGUUCGGGUCCAGAUUAGCCAGACCCGGCUGGACCUAGACCCGGAUAUUAUAAUUGUUAGAUAAAUAUUUUAUAAUAUAUUAGUAAGUUAAGGUUUAAAUAUAAAUAUUUUAAAAUAUAUUUUAUAAUAUAUUAAUAACUUAAGGGUUAAAUAUAAAUACACCAUUUAUAUUUUAUAGAAUUUGUAUCAGUUAAUCUGAUCCGUCGGUUGUCUAAUCGAUGGAUCAAAUAUUGAAUUUUGAUUUUUUGGUUAAUUUUGUCAUUAGUAAUGUUUUACCUGUUUUUGUAGGUAAAGUUUAUAAGGGUUGAUAGGUUAGGUUGAUACGUGUGCAGUUAUAGGUCUUUUAUUAUAUAUUUAUUGCUUUGUCUUGUCUAUGUGCAUGUCUUCUUCUAUUUCAGUUCAUCAUUCUCCUGUUUUUCUGUUUCUUCUCCUGUUUUUCUUAUUUUUCUCCAGUUUUUCUUCUUUUUCGGUGUUGAGUUUAUCAUUCUCAUGUUUUUCUCCUUCUUCUUUAGUUUUUCUUCUUCUUUUUAUUUGAAACUGGAUUUUCCAUUGUAACAGGUGUUUUCUUCUUCUUCUUGGGUUUUAUUUUCUUUAUAUUGAUUUUACCAUUUUCCAGUUUAAUCUCAUCUGUUUAUUUGGUUUACAUUCCUUUGAUUUCAGUGCGUUAGGCCCUAGGGCAGGAGUUAUAAAUACCUCCCAUGGUGCAGAAGGGAGGGGGAUCGGUUACCUGAGAAUAGGAAUAGUAGAGAAUUGUGUGUGUGAGCACCUCAGCGCGAGCCCACACACCAUCAACGGUGAACCUGACGUGAAACUAAUACUCAACCGGAGAGAGGAUGGUCGGAGGGAGCUGGUUCCACAAAGGGCAAAGCUCGAAGCAGCUCGGGCAGAAACAGCUCGCGACAGGGAGCUGAGCCCGAAUACUGCAAGGGCGGAGCGAUCGCGAGAGGAGGGGAAGACUCGGAUAGAUCCGAUCCCUACUUCUCAUACAGAAAGCAGUGCGUCGCCUGGGCGCUCGAGACCCAGGAGGCAGCGUGGAGGGCGAGAAUGGAGGAUGCGGACAGGGUGGCCUGGCACAAGGAGAGGGACGCCGCAAAGGAGAUGGCCCGACGUUUGAAGAAGGACGACAGACGUAGGGAGGAGAGGAAACAGAGACGGGAGAGGCGGGACCGCUCCCGGACCCCAACGGAGAGGGGGGAGCGCCGCAGGAGGAAGCCCUUAGAAAAUGCGAAGCUCUCGGAAAUGGUCUCCGCUCUACAGAACAGCCAGCGGCAGUUGCGAGAAUAGGUCCUCCAACUAACCGCCGAACGGUGAGUGCUGGAGUCGGAUGGCGUUGGUGGAGGCACAGCAGGGGGGACCCCGCGAGUGGAGCGAUAGUCACGGUGCCCGGCACGGGGGGUGGGGAAUCCCUAGCACAACAUUUGCUGGAGGGCGAGUACCCCAUCGGCUGGAGAACCCCAAAGAUCCCCGAGUACAAGCUAGAGAGAUAUCGACCCAAGCGACCACCUUUAUUCCUUUAAAACAAACAUGGAGGACAGAACCGAUAGGAAGGACAUUUGGUGUAGAAUGUUUCGAAGGGCGUUCGCGGGUGACGACGUAGCGUGGUACAGAACACUCCCCAAGGCCUCGGUCCAUACCUUCGAGGAGCUAGAGAGAACCUUCUUGGCGGCGUUCGCCCACAAGUGAAGGAGACCGAAGACCAAAACCACCCUCAGUGCAGUAGUACAGGGGGACUUCGAGAGCACGCGAGCGUACAUGAACCGGUUCGCGAGGGUGGUGAAGGAAAUCAAAUGUAACGCCACUGACUCCAGAUCUAAGGAAUUUGUAGGAGGAGUAUUCGAGCCUGUUGACCAAGUCUCUCCUAUAUCAAAAAUGAGCGUUACUUGAAAUGGAGGACCCAGAGCCAUGGCCGUAGCUACAUGAGGGUCAGCUACUGACGAGAAUUGAAGAACUAUGUCGGCUCUUCUAUUCACCGAUGUCUGUGAAUAAAAUAUCGAUUAGAUGACUAUUAUAUUGUUGAUGAUAAUUAUGUUACGUUAUAAAUAUAUAUAUAUGUACAAUUGCAAAAUUUACACACGCCGCACGUUCCCAUGUAUCAAAAGCCUUUGUAAAUAUCCUUUUGCGGAUGUAAAAUGGAAUGGUAGUGCCAGACGGAUCGAGGUAGAACUUCACUCUACGAACGUCUCUGACCCGGGCAGUAGCAGGGAUGACUGCACUACAGGUUUGUCCGGAUGAAGUUGUUAUGGAUGCGAGGAGGAAGAAACCAAGGAAGACAAGAUAUGACAUGGUGAAUUAAUGACAAAAAUUUAGUUUCAAGCUUUGGGAAAUUGUGAUGUGUUCAAACUCAUCAUACACACCCAUAUUUAUACAACUUUUCUACAAUGUGAAUUUAAUGAGUUGAGAAUAAAAUGUUGACCGUAUUAAAGAGGGUGGACCCGUUUAAUGAAUAUUGAUGUCGAAAAUAUUUUAUUUUAUCACAUCAAAAUAAGUAGACAGACUUCAUUCUAUAUAGAGUUAGGUGAUAUCUCAAUUCUCACUAUUAAAUCCAAUUCCAACGACCCCACAUUUGAUUUCUACUUAUUCAUUUUGUUUAUUAAUUUAUUUAAAUAUCAUUAAAUAUGCACAUUAACUUGUAAAUUGUAAUCGGAAUCGCAUAAAUUUAGAUUUUUAUAUAAUUAAAUUGAGAUUUUGAUAUAAUUAAAAAGAUUUUGAUGUAAACUGACUUUUCAUGUCGAGAAAAAAAAUAUAAUUAAUGUUGACAAAUUUAUUUGCCCUACCUACUAAUUCUUCUGAUCAUUUGCAAUUUAUUUGGUAUCGAUAUAUAUUAGUGUGUCCAAAUUAUCAUACAAUUUUGCAUAUAUUUGCAAGUUGAAUUUUACAACUGGAAAUAGAUUACAAUUUAAAAACUUUUUUAAUUAAAAAUAAAAUAUUUUUAUUUUCUAACUUUUCAUAUCGAGAAAAAUUUAUAAUUAAUAUUAACAAAUACUUUUGUCCUAACCAGUUGCUUUUCAAUUAUCAUUAAUUCGUUAUUACACAUAUUUGCGUGUCCAAAAUAUUUUAUUUUAUCACAACAAAAAAGUGGACAGACUUCAUUCUAUCUGAAGUUGGGUGAUAUCUCAAUUCUCACUAUUAAAUCCAAUUCCAACGACCCCACACAUGAGAUUUCUACUUGUUCAUUUUGGUUAUUAAUUUAUUUAAAUAUCAUUAAAUAUAUGCAUUAACUUGUAAAUUGUAAUCGGAAUCGCAUAAAUUUAGAUUUUUAUAUAAUUAAAUUGAGAUAUUGAUAUAAAUUAUUUUUUUAUAUAAUUAAAAAGAUUUUGAUGUAAAACUGACUUCUCACGUAGAGAAAAAAAUAUAUGAUUAAUGUUGACAAAUUUAUUUGCCCUACCUAAUAAAUCUUCAGAUCUUUUGCAAUUAAUUUGGUAUCGACACUUUAACGGAUCCAAAUAAUCAUACAAUUUUGCAUACAUUUGCAAGUUGAAUUUUAUCACUGAAAAUAGAUUGCAAUUUAUAAAUUAUUUUAAUUAAAAAUAAAAUAAAAAUAUAUUAUUUUUUCUUCUAAUUUUUUACAUCAAGAAAAAUUUAUAAUUAAUAUUGACAAAUACUCUUGUCCUAACUAGUUGCUUUUCAAUUAUCAUUAAUUCGUGAUUACACAUAUUUACGUGUCCAAAAUAUUUAUUUUAUCACAUCAAAAGAAGUGGUCAGACUUCAUUCUAUCUGAAGUUGGGUGAUAUCUCAAUUCUCACUAUUAAAUCCAAUUGCAACGACCCCACAUUUGAUUUCUAGUUGUUCAUUUUGGUUAUUAAUUUAUUUAAAUAUCAUUAAAUAUGUACAUUAACUUGUAAAUUGUAAUCCAACGUGAUCGUAUAAAUUAUUUUUUGAUAUAAUUAAAAAGAUUUUGAUGUAAACUGACUUUUUGCGUCGAUAAAAAAUAUAUAAUUAAUGUUGACAAAUUUAUUUGCUCUACCUACUAAAUCUUCUGAUCAUUUGGAAUUAAUUUGGUAUCGACACAUAUUAGUGUGUCCAAAUUAUCAUACAAUUUUGCAUAUAUUUGCAAGUUGAAUUUUAUCACUGAAAAUAGAUUACAAUUUAUAAAUUAUUUUAAUUAAAAAUAUUUUAUUUUUCUCUUCUAAUACCACAAAAUAUAUGGACAAACACAAGUACUUUAUCUAAAGUGGAAUGAUAUUCUCAUGCACCAUUAAAUCCAACCACACAUAAGGGUUCAUUUUAUCCAAACCCCAACCCCACAUUUUUCACCAUUAAUUCUCACAAUUAAAUCCAACCCCAAUCCCAAAUUUAAUUACAAGUUUUUUCUUUUAGGUCAAAAUUUAUUUAAAUGUCAUUAAAUAUGUGCAUAAACAUGUAAAUAAUAAUCUAAUGUAAAUAGUAUAAAAUAAGAUUUUUAUAUAUUUAAUAGAUUUGGAUUUAAACAGACUUUUCACGUAUAGAAAAAUAUAUAAUUAAUGUCAAACAAUUAACUUGCCCUACCCAAUAAUUCCUUUUGACCGCUUACAAUUAAUUUGAGAUCGACACAUAUUUGCGUGUCCAAAUUUGCAUACAAUUUUGUAUACAUUUGUAAGUUGAAUUUUAUCACAAAAAAUAGAUUACUAUUUAUAAACUAUUUUAAUUAAGAAAAAAUAAAAAUGUUUUAUUUUUCUCUUCUAACUUUUCACGUCGAGAAAAUUGUAUAAAUAAUAUUGACAAAUACCCUUGUUCUAACUAGUUACUUUUCACUUAUCAUCAAUUUAUGAUCGACACAUAUUUGAGUGUCCAAAUUAUUUUACUUUAUCAUACCAAAGUAAGUAGACAAACUUCAUUUUAUCUGAAGUUUAGUGAUAUCUCAAUUCUCACUAUUAAAUCCAAUUCCAACGACAUCAUAUUUAAUUACUAGUUGUUAAUUUUAGGUCAUAAUUUAUUUAAGUGCCAUUAAAUAUGUGCAUAAACUUGUAAAUUGCAACCCAAUGGCAUCUUAUAUAAAUUUAGAUUUUUAUAUAAUUAAAUUGAGAUUUGGAUAUAAACUAUUUUUUGAUAUAAUUAAAUAAAUUUUGAUGUAAAAUGACUUUUCACGUCAAGAAAAAAUGAUGUAAAUUUUUUAUUUUCCCUACCUAAUAAUUCUUCUGAUCAUUUGCAAUUAAUUUGAGAUCGACACAAAUUCUUCUGAAUUUUAUCACAGAAAAUAGAUUACAAUUUAUAAACUAUUUUAAUUAAUUUAAAUAAAAAUGUUUUAUUUUUUACUUCUAACUUUUUACGUCGAGAUUUUUUUUAUAAUUUUUGUUGACAAAUACCUUUGCCCUAACUAGUUAUUUUUGUAGAAUCUAAAUUGUUGAUGCAUAUUAUGUAUUGAUAAUCAUGUUUAGUUAACCAUUAUCAUGUUGUUAUUCCCUAGCUAGGAUAAAUUGAAUUUGAAUUAAACCUAAUUUCAAUUAGGUUUAAUUAUAUUAAACCUUAGAAUUAUUUGAGCAUGUCUAAAUAAAGUCAAAAUUCAAAGAACGAUUUUUAUGGUCAACAAGUCAACAUGUUGUAGUUGAGAAUCAAUAGGGUAAAUUGAUUUGAAUUAAACCUAAUCUCAAUCAGGCACAUAUUAACCUUAGAAUUAUUUGACCAUAUAAAAAUUCAAGUCAAAAGUCAAAACCCUAAUUUCGUGGUCAACAUGUCAACAUUGUGUAUUUGAGAAUUAUUCCUAAUUACCAUUAACUAUUCUUAAUCUUUGUCUUAUAGCAAAUUUCAAUAUAAGGAUGGAAAUAAUACAAAAGAGGAAUUCAUGUGAAUAAUACAAGAAAUACAUGGGUUGAAGAGAAGCUAAACCUUGAUUAAAGAUAAACUUAUCAUAGAACAAAGGAAAAAUAUCCAACCACAUUUUUUACUCUUGUGAAAGAUCAAGGAACUAUUGAUUCAAGAUCUAAUGGAGAAGAUCAUUUGGUCAAAGCUAUAAAUAGAGUGGUAUACCCAUUGCAAAAGCCAACCACGCUACAAGAGAUUUUCAAAUAUCAGCAUUGAGCCCCUCAUUUCCACUCUUAACGUCCACAACUUUCAAAAUCUCCAAGUUUCCAACGUUUUCAAAUUGUGUUCAAAUGUUCUUGUUCAAAGGUGUCAAAAGCUCUACACUUCUUCUUCUAAUCUUCUUGAGUGUUCAUAGCAAGUUUGAAGUGUUGUAAUCCUAAACUUUCUCCAUCAUUUUCGUGUGUAUUCCACUUUAGUUGAGAGAGUUGUCUCAAAAUCACCAAAGUGGAAAGGAGGGUUAUUAGGCUUAAUCAUAAAGCUCUAAGUUAGUUUUAUAGAGUUAUCUAGAAAACUCUUAGGUGCUAUACGUCUACCUGGAAAGACUUGGGAAAGUUUUAAGUUUACUUUAAAAACUUAAAUGGUUCGUAAGCAUUGUAGUCUGUAAAAAGCCUACAAAAGGUUCGUAAGCAUUCACUACAAGAAAAGAAAUCUACAACGACGAUUUUGGAUCAUCGCUCAAUUUUAAGAAGGAUUUUAAAGAAAACACACGAUGUUAGCGACGAUAUAAAAAUGAUCUUUUUUUGUAUAAUUAACGACGAUAUAUUGAUAAUCGUCGCUAAAUAUACGAAUUAUAGCAACGAUUUAAAAUUUAACGUCGCUAAUAAUGAGUACAAAUUUAUAAAAUUUUAUAACAAUAAGGUAUUUAUGUAAAAUGACCCUUUUAUAUAUAAUUGUCUUUUAUUAUAAAAUCCCAAAUUUCCCUUUCACUAAGCCUAAACGCUCCAUUUUCCCAAUCUCUCCUAUCGCCGAAUUUCCCCAAUCUCCCCUAUCACUGGAUUUUCCCGCCAGUCAUCAUCAACGGACGAUAGAUUUUCCUAUCGGUCAUCAUCAACGAACGCCGGCAUCAAUAUGGAGCAGAUAUGUUCAUUGGGUUUCUAGCUGUAUCUUCCCUAUUUCUGUUUGGAUUUCUUGUUGGAUUUCUGUUUGGGUUUGUCAUUGGAGCUUGUUUGCAUCUUUCUGUUUGGGUUUGAAUCCUUGCUAAUUCGUUUUACACAAUGUUUUGUUUCUGUUUGAAUCGUUGCAUCGUUUUGUUUCUGUUUGAAUCCUUGCAUCGUUCUAUUUGGAUUUGAAUCCUAGCAAAUUCGUUUUACACAAUGUUCUGUUUCUGUUUGAAUCCUUGCAUCGUUCUGUUUGGAUUUAUGUUUGGGUUAGGAUUUUAUACAAUAUCAAAUAUAAAACUAAUAUCCUUUAGAAAUGCCAAAUAGUUUCAAAUUAAGACAUCAAUUAUCAAUCAAUAAAAUUAAAAUACAAGCAUAUCACAAAAAAAAUACUCGAUAUAUUGAUUGCUGGCAAUUGGAGAUGGUGGAUCUCCAGGUUGUAGAUUUAUAAAGUAUUUAUUUUUAUUUGGGGAUUGGAAAUUCUGUUUGGAUUUAUGUUUGGUGGGAAUGGGCUGGGAUCAUGUACUUAUAAUCAUAGAAUCCACUAGAUCAUCAGAUUAUAAGUGAUUUUCAUACCGAACCAGACCUGAAUAGGGGUUAUAUACAUUCUCAUUAUGAGAGGGUUCUAGCAUAUGUAAAUGGAAUUACUCGUUUGAAUCAGUUUUACACAAUGUUGAAUCGGUUUAAUUCGUUUUACACAAUAUUCUGUUUCUGUUUGAAUCAGUCAUUAUAUUACUGUUGGUGUAUAGACUUGUCGGUGCAAGCUCAAAACCUCAACUCUCUCAAGUGUUCACUCUCUCGUAUUGUCAACCCCCUCCCCUGUUGGACCAGGAGAGAUAUUUAUAGUUUCUUCUCGCCGACCUCGGGCCUCGUGGGCUCGUGUGUUGGGCCCGUCCACUCGCCUGGGCCGCCGACAGGCCCUGUUCGGUCCAUGGUACCAACAGUACUCCCCUCUUCCUCGACGGGCCCGGGCCCGGGGGCCGCCUGUCCCCGUCCCGUCUACAACCACCUCCAUUAAAGCUCCUCGGUGUUUGAGCCCAUCCUCCUUCUCCUUCCUAUAAAUAGCCUACUCGACUCUUCAACUUCUCAUACCAUCCCCCCUUCCGCCAUGAGUGUUCAAGACAUCCUCGAAGAGUACGGUCGCGAAGUGCAACUUCAGCAUGCCGCCUGGGCCAUGUGCCUGAUGUCGCCCGCCGACGUCCCUAACAGCGUGGCCGUGGCCGAGACUCAACGUCUAAACGCCGUGUUGAUCGACGUCCAUCGUCACCUCUCCCAGGUUCGCCACUCCGACCUUCUCGCCUACCCCGGUACCGCUCUUGCCGCCGUCUCGGGCUCCGCCGGCACCUCGCGUGCCUUCAGCGCGUAUGGUAUGAUCACCGCUCCUGCUGUCGCCGCCGCUGCCGAUUCUCUGCCAAAGCGUCGUCGGUCGCGCGGCCAUCGCCGCUCCCGGGGGUCUUCGUCCCUUCCGGCUACUGACCUGUGCCACUUCCUGUCGGGGUCCUCGAAGUCGGCCCGUGAUGAAGCACGGAAUCUGCUACCAGUAGGCUCGCGGGGUGGCGAGAUGAUCCGGAGGCUGUGGAGUCCACGACGCGCGCUCUACGUCAAACACCUGCAGAAGAGGAGGGGAAUCGACGACUCACGUGGGAGUAGACGAUUCGGGCUCCUUGGUUGCUCUAGUGUGGAGUGUGAGUCAAGAGAGUAAGUCAUGGAUGGAGGACACCCCUAGGACCCCUUUUAUAGGGUCCUAGAGGCGUUUCCAUUCAAUGGAGUGGGGCCCACCUCAUUAUGGUGCCCUAUUGAAGGGUGCCAUAAUGGGGUGGGCCCGCCCGCGUAACGGUUGGGAGUCGCCGAUCCAGGAGUGGAGUCGCCGAUUCCUUGGAGGCCAAGUCCUCGGUCUACCAGACCCGAGAUCCCUGGCCGGAAUCGGCGAUUCACCCUUGGAGUCGGCGACUUGGUAGUCCCAGUCGGCGACUCCUAAGUGUUAACUUGGGCUUUUGACGUAGACACGUGCUUCGCACCGUGGAAGCCUUUCCAGGGGUCCGGCAUAUAGUGACGGAACCCUAUUCCUUGUUUGAAGGGCGUUGCUGGGAGUGACUGACGUAAUCAGGCAUGUCUCACCAGUACUCCCCCCUGAAGAGAGUAUGGCUGAACACCCGUGUACCGCCAGUAUCCCCCCCCAAGCAAGGUGAUCCGCAUCAAGGCCAAAGCGACAAGAUGGGAUCGAAUCAAUGUGGCCACAGCGACACAAUGACUCCGUUACCCAUGCACUAUUAGAUGGGUUGAUUCACUAUCAGAAUCUAGUUCCAGGCCAAUAGAACUACGUGUUUAUAGUCCAACUCUGAUCAGGAGCGACUCUUUCUGUGUUAUCAUCAAGGCCGAAGCGACAAGAUGAAGGGAGAUUAUUAAGGCCCAAAGCGACAAAAUAAUUCUCAUCCAUUAAGGCCAAAGCGACAAAAUGAAGCGACUCGCUAUCAGAGUCUGAUUCUGACCAAAGCGACAGAAUGCGUGGAUCCUGGCCAAAGCGACAAGAUCUAGUUCACUAUCAGAACUGAUGUUUAUAGUCCACCCUGAUCAAGAGCGACUUUACGUCCGCAACGACGGUUACCCCACUAAGGUCGAAACGACAAAGUGGGUCGAGAUCAUUAAGGCCAAAUCGACAAAAUGAUCUCCAAGUCUAUCAAGGCCAAAGCGAUAAGAUAAGAGAAUUAUUGAGGCCAAAGCGACAAAAUAAUUCUUGGUCCAUUGAGGCUAUAGCGACAAAAUGGACUGACUCGUUAUUAGAGUCUGAUUUUGGCCGAAGCGACAGAAUGCGUGGAUCCUGGCCAAAGCGACAGGAUCGUUCCUGCAAAACAACUACAUCAGUCUAAAGGAUAUAUUUAUUGACUUACUGACCUUGCCGUGCGGGGCUGCUCCUCGUGCUGCUCCUUCCUAUGCUCAAUAAAUCCUCGAUUGAUCUGGCCGAAGCGACAGAUCUAUCAUGCUCAUGGUGUGACAGCUUCUGGCCAAAGCGACAGAAGUGUCGGGAAGAGUUUAUGAUACUCCCCCCCGAAUUUGACAACUUCUGGCCAAAGCGACAAGAGUGUCGGGACGAGCUUAUGAUACCCCCCCUUGAGAUCAUUAAGGCCGAAGCGUCAAAAUGACCCCUGGUCUACUAAGGCCGAUGCGACGAAGCAGACCGACUCACUAUCAGAGUCUGAUUCUGACCAAGGCUACAGAUCCACUAUCAGGAUCUACCAACCUCUUAUUCAUGACUGUUCCCUUAUUGGCAGGAACAUUGCCUCGAUGGCGCAGGCCAAUAGCAUGUCCAAUCAGAUGUAAAGCCACUGAGUGCAGAUCUAAGGAAUUCUGAGGACGAGGAGGAGUAUCGCCUUUUGCCCAAAUCUCUCCUGAAUCAAAAGUGAGCUCUACUUGCGGACUUGGAGGAGCCGUGGCCGAAGCUACAUGAGGUCCAGGUAUUGGCAAGAAUUGAAGAACUAUGUUGGCCUGACUUUUCACCGAUGUCUGUGAAUAAAAUAUCGAUUAGAUGAGUAUUAUAUUGUUGAUGAUAAUUAUGUUACGUUAUAAAUAAAUAUGUAGAUGAGUAUUAGGAACUUACAAUUGCAAAAUUUACACACGUCUGAGCUUCCCAUGUAUCGAAAGCCUUUGUAAAUAUGUUUUUGCAGAUGUAAAAUGGAAAAGGACAAGUCGGAUCGAUGUAGAACUUCACUGUACCACACCCCCAUUUUGCACAAAAAGGAGUGAAGUCGUUAUUGACUGCACUACAGGUUUGUCCAGAUGAUGUUGUUAUGGAUGCGAGGAGGAAGAAACCAAGGAAGACAAGAUAUGACAUGGUGAAUUAAUGACUAGAAUUUAGUUUCAAGCUUUGGGAAAUUGUGUUGUGUUUAAACUCAUCAUACACACCCAUAUUUAUACAACUUUUUUACAAUGUGAAUUUAAUGAGUUGAGUAUAAAAUAUAGCCAUGUUCAAUGUAUAUUAAAACUUUUAUAAAAUUCAAAUGUAUCUGAGGAUCGUAUUAAAAAGAAUAUGUACGAUGAAUAAUUUGUGGACAUGCAUAUAUAUAUUUUCGUAACACAACUUCAAUCCGCAUAAAGUUAACGAUCUUAUCUUAAAAAAAUUGGUUGUAUUUUAAAUACAUAUUAUAAUUAUGUUUAUUAUACAAAAUUAAAUUUUAUUAUAUUUUAAGCAAAAUAAAUUACAAUUUAAUUAUAUACUAUUUUCUGAUAAAAUCGAAAAAAUAUCGCCAUUGACUGCACUACAGGUUUGUCCAGAUGAUGUUGUUAUGGAUGCGAGGAGGAAGAAACCAAGGAAGACAAGAUAUGACAUGGUGAAUUAAUGACUAGAAUUUAGUUUCAAGCUUUGGGAAAUUGUGUUGUGUUUAAACUCAUCAUACACACCCAUAUUUAUACAACUUUUUUACAAUGUGAAUUUAAUGAGUUGAGUAUAAAAUAUAGCCAUGUUCAAUGUAUAUUAAAACUUUUAUAAAAUUCAAAUGUAUCUGAGGAUCGUAUUAAAAAGAAUAUGUACGAUGAAUAAUUUGUGGACAUGCAUAUAUAUAUUUUCGUAACACAACUUCAAUCCG
Molecule: long non-coding RNA, 21702 nt
Filed under: Zostera marina
Lineage: Eukaryota; Viridiplantae; Streptophyta; Magnoliopsida; Alismatales; Zosteraceae
Description: long non-coding RNA (ZMAR_LNC001202)
Source: RNAcentral